CAAAAAUAGCAUUUCUUACAAAAUGAACACAUUUUUUGGAACCCAAAAAGGUUUUAAGUUAGAGUGAUAAAAUAGAAAUUGUAACCGACCGACACACACUGAAGAUGGAACACGAGGCGUUUGCUUUCUUAAUUUUGUGCCUGGCACGUCGAAAGGUAGAGAGACACCAAGGGAUAAUGCCAGGGAGGAGUUACCAGGAUAUUAAGGUAACAAAACCCAAGAGCCAAGCUGAAGGUACUCAUUAAGGAGAACAUGGGGAAGGGAGAAGAGAGGACUGACAAUGGCGUAACUAUAGGUUAAUAGAGAGAAUACCAAUACAAAUUGGGAGAGACCCCAAACCAGGGGGUUAGCAGGGAAAGGAACGGAUGCCAGCAGAUUAUUAUGGAAGAAAAGCCACAGAAGUCUCAGGUAUAAUACAGGAGCAGAGAUUGCCCUGCAGCUUCCAGACAUCUGUUUCUGGACUUCUCAGAAGAUGUUCCUUCUGCUGCUCUUCUGCUCUCUGAUUUGGAAAGUAUUCGCACAGGCUGCAGCCCCGCCGAUCCUAAUGGCUGCAUCUCGGAUGUGGUGAACACCAAAGUCUUCCAGAUGAGACGGGCAGGUUAUGAGAUGAAAAUCAUAGCUUCGGCCAAAAUAACAGAGGACGGGACAGGUGUGGAACUGACCGGUGAAGGUUCUUCUGAGAUCAAGAGCACCUUGGCUAAAGUAAUUUUACUAAAUUACUUUAGUUUU
Molecule: RNA transcript, 729 nt
Organism: Xenopus tropicalis (tropical clawed frog)
Lineage: Eukaryota; Metazoa; Chordata; Amphibia; Anura; Pipidae
Gene name: alpha-1-macroglobulin-like
Exons: 3
Source: RefSeq, a predicted model, not a curated record